GGUGUGGAUAGGGGAGAAAUUCCAAUCGAACCCGGAGAUAGCUGGUUCUCCUCGAAAUAGCUUUAGGGCUAGCCUCGUAUUAGUCUGGCGGAGGUAGAGCACUGAAUUUCCUAGGGGGCGUCAAAGCCUACCGAAGAAUAUCAAACUGCGAAUGGCGGACAGAUGAUGCCAGGGAGUCAGACUGCACGAGAUAAGUUGGGUGGUCAAAAGGGAAAGAGCCCAGACCUACAGCUAAGGUCCCAAAGUGUGUGUUAAGUGGAAAAGGAUGUGGGAUUUCGAAGACAACUAGGAUGUUGGCUCAGAAGCAGCCACACAUUAAAAGAGUGCGUAAUAGCUCACUAGUCGAGAGGUCCUGCGCCGAAAAUGUCCGGGGCUAAAACACAACACCGAAGCUUAGGAAUUCUAAUGAAUUGGUAGAGGAGCAUUGAAGACGGAACGAAGCCAUACCGAAAGGAAUGGUGGACUGUCUUGAAGAGAGAAUGCCGGAAUGAGUAGCGAGAUUGAAGUGAGAAUCUUCAAGGCCGAAUAUCUAAGGUUUCCAGGGUAAAGCUGAUCUGCCCUGGGUAAGUCGGGGCCUAAGGCAAGGUCGAAAGACGUAGUCGAUGGAUAACAGGUUGAAAUUCCUGUACUGCAUCAAAUCAGAAAUGUGGGGACACAUGAGGGAAGCAUGAGCCGGAAAAGGAAAGUCCGGUACAAGCGCAGCAGAGGACAGAUAGGCAAAUCCGUCUGUCAACUCAAGGGCGCGAUGUGGAGCGAACCAAAGUAGCGAAGCAUGUGGAGCUUGUGUCGAGAAAAGCCGCUAUUGUGUUUGAUGUACCCGUACCGUAAACCGACACAGGUGGAUGAGGAGAGAAUCCUAAGGCCGGCGGGAGAAGCAUUGUUAAGGAACUCGGCAAAAUGACCCCGUAACUUCGGGAGAAGGGGUGCUCCAGAGAUGGAGCCGCAGAGAACUGGCCCAAGCAACUGUUUAGCAAAAACACAGGUCUAUGCAAAACCGAAAGGUGAGGUAUAUGGGCUGACGCCUGCCCGGUGCUGGAAGGUUAAGAGGAGAUGUUAGAGCAAUCGAAGCAUUGAAUUUAAGCCCCAGUAAACGGCGGCCGUAACUAUAACGGUCCUAAGGUAGCGAAAUUCCUUGUCGGGUAAGUUCCGACCCGC
RNAcentral lists this ribosomal RNA (1155 nucleotides) under human gut metagenome. Its description in RNAcentral is "bacterial LSU rRNA". It matches the Rfam family "Bacterial large subunit ribosomal RNA", at positions 808 to 1991 of the family's 2925-position model. The record is from RNAcentral.